CACGAUAAGAGCCCAGCCCAUAACUGAUCGCAUCUCCAUCACCGUCUUCCACAGCAAAGCACGAAAACCCUAAAAACUAGAACUAGAAAACGAAACCAAACCUACCUGCAAAAAUCUAAUUUGACAAAUCUUUUGGAUGACAAAUUCGCUUGUAUUGCACAAUGGGAGCCAGCCGUAAGCUUCAGGGAGAGAUCGAUCGGGUUCUCAAGAAGGUCCAGGAAGGCGUUGAUGUCUUCGACAGUAUCUGGAACAAGGUUUACGAUACGGACAAUGCGAACCAGAAGGAGAAGUUCGAGGCGGACUUGAAGAAGGAGAUCAAGAAACUCCAGCGGUACAGGGACCAAAUCAAGACAUGGAUCCAGUCCAGCGAGAUCAAAGACAAGAAGGUUAGUGCCUCUUAUGAGCAGGCUUUGGUGGAUGCUCGUAAACUUAUUGAACGUGAAAUGGAAAGAUUUAAGAUCUGCGAAAAGGAGACUAAGACAAAAGCAUUCUCUAAAGAAGGACUAGGCCAACAACCUAAAACUGAUCCAAAGGAGAAGGCUAAAUCAGAGACAAGGGAUUGGUUGAACAAUGUGGUUUCAGAGUUGGAGUCUCAGAUUGAUAGCUUUGAAGCGGAGAUUGAGGGGCUAUCUGUUAAGAAGGGAAAGACUAGGCCGCCAAGACUGACACAUUUAGAGACAUCUAUCACCCGGCACAAAGCUCAUAUAAUGAAGUUGGAACUGAUCUUGAGGCUCCUGGAUAAUGAUGAACUGAGUCCCGAGCAGGUUAAUGAUGUUAAAGACUUCCUGGAAGAUUAUGUGGACCGAAAUCAGGACGAUUUUGAAGACUUUAGUGAUGUUGAUGAGCUUUACAACACUUUACCACUAGACAAGGUGGAGUCUCUUGAAGACCUGGUUGUAAUUGGUCCUCCCAGUCUUGUUAAGGGGGCACCUGUUCUUAGCUUGAAGACAUCUUUGGUGGCAUCAGCCUCUCAAAUUCCUGCCACUGGUGCGUCUAAUCUUCAGCAGAGUACUGUCCCAGAGCAAGUUGAAGAUACGGCUCCCCAGGACAUUAAUUCUGAUACUGUUCCAAGAACUCCACCGCCCAAAAGUAGUGUACUUGCUUCUUCUGCAGCAUCUACACCAGUUGGGAGUCAUGCGACAGCUAAUGUUUCUGCUCAUAAUUUGUCUAGUGUCUCCACUGCUUCAGCGAGCCUUCCAGUUUCAGGCUCUAUUCGAGUUGUCACAGAGAACACUGGUACUACCAAUUCUUCUUCUGCUUUGAGUCUGUCCCCUUCUGCAAGGGAAGAAGAUAGUCUUCCUGGCCGCAGAUCAUCUCCAUCUCUUUCUGAUGCUGGACUUGUAAGGGGAAUUGGUAGAGGUGGCCUCUCCAGCCAACCGUCAGCUAGUAUCCCUCUUAGUGCUAGCAAUGUAGUUCCUGGAAAUGGAGCUGUUGGUGCAGUUCCUUCAGCCUCAGACAUGACGAAGAGAAACAUUUUAGUAGCGGAUGAGAGACUUGGGAGUAGUGGCAUGGUGCAGCCUUUGGUUUCCCCUCUAAGUAAUAGAAUGAUUUUGCCUCAGGGUGCCAAGGCAAACGAUGGAACUGGUGCGAUUGAUUCUAGUAAUGUUGGUGAGCCUCCAGCUAUAGCUGCUGGCAGAGUUUUUUCCCCUCCUAUGGUCCCUGGUAUGCAAUGGAGGCCUGGAAGUGCCUUUCAGAACCAGAAUGAAGCGGGGCAGUUUCGUGGAAGAACUGAAAUUGCACCUGAUCAGAGGGAGAAGUUUUUGCAACGGCUCCAACAGGUGCAGCAACAAGGUCACAGCACCCUUCUUAGCAUGCCAACUCUUGCUGCAGGAAAUCAUAAGCAGUUUUCUUCACAACAGCAAAACCCACUCUUGCAGCAGUUUAAUUCUCAAAGCACAUCUGCCUCUUCUCAAGCUGGUCUGGGACUUGGAGUCCAGGCACCUGGUCUCAAUAAUGUUACUCCUGCCACCUUACAGCAACAGAAUAAUUCCAUCCAUCAACAGUCUAAUCAACAGGCAUUGAUGUCAAGUGGUCCAAAAGAUGCUGAUGUUGGUGCUGCAAAAGUUGAGGAGCAGCAGCAACAACAGAAUUUACCUGAUGAUUCAAUUGUUGACUCUACAAGUGGUUCUGGGCUUGGAAAGAAUCUCAUGAAUGAGGAUGAUUUGAAAGCCUCUUAUGCAAUAGAUAGUCCUGCAGGGGUAUCUGGCUCUUUGACCGAGCCUGCUCAAGUCCCUAGAGAUAUUGAUCUCUCUCCUGGGCAACCUUUACAAUCAAAUCAACCUUCUGGGAGCCUUGGUGUUAUUGGCCGAAGAAGUGUUUCUGACCUUGGUGCCAUUGGGGAUAGCCUCAGUGGAUCAACUCUGAAUUCUGGGGGAAUGCAUGAUCAGUCAUACAAUUUGCAGAUGCUUGAGGCUGCUUAUUAUAAACUUCCUCAACCCAAAGAUUCUGAACGUGCAAGAAGUUAUACUCCACGGCACCCUGCAAUUACUCCUUCUAGCUAUCCUCAAGUACAGGCGCCUAUUGUUAAUAAUCCUGCCUUCUGGGAACGACUAGGUCUGGAAGUUAAUGGCACUGACACUCUCUUCUUUGCAUUUUACUAUCAGCAGAACACUUAUCAACAAUAUUUGGCUGCAAAAGAGUUGAAGAAGCAAUCUUGGAGAUACCACAAGAAAUACAAUACAUGGUUUCAACGGCAUGAGGAGCCCAAAGUUGCCACAGAUGAAUAUGAACAGGGGACGUAUGUGUACUUUGAUUUUCAUAUUGCCAAUGAUGACCUGCAGCAUGGAUGGUGUCAGAGAAUCAAGACAGAAUUCACUUUUGAGUACAACUAUCUUGAAGAUGAACUUAUGGUAUAGAGGAUCUGAAGAACAUUGAACAUGUCAUUGUUGUCUUCCAGGUGGAAUUCACAUGUAAACAUGUUGCUUUGGGUGCUGCACAUAACAGUAGACGUGGAGUUUGUUGUCAAAUGGCUUUGGCCUUCUGUUCUUGCAGUGGGUCAGUUUCGUGGCCUGUAAGCUGUGAGCAUGAUCCUUUAUUUCUUGCUGCUUUUACAUACGCUCUGCCUCUUCGCGCUUAAGAAGCCCUCAACUUUUCGGAUGCUGAUGUUUUCAUAAGCUAGCCUUGGAUUUGUAAUUGUAGGGUUACGUAUUUUGCAAUACAGGAGGAGUUGACAUGUGUAAGUGAAAAAAUAUAUAAUAUGAUUAGAUCAAAAACCCCAUACCCCAGGGAAGUUGACGAUUGAAUAUGAUUUAUUUAUGUGGAACUAGUUUUGACUGACAUACAUGAAG
Corylus avellana is the source of this 3287-nucleotide RNA transcript. It is a transcript of the gene named transcription regulator NOT2/NOT3/NOT5 family protein, with no coding region annotated. NCBI's taxonomy places the organism in Eukaryota, Viridiplantae, Streptophyta, Magnoliopsida, Fagales, Betulaceae. The record is from RefSeq and is a predicted model, not a curated record.